UACGGAGGGGCUAGCGUUGUUCGGAAUUACUGGGCGUAAAGCGUACGUAGGCGGCUUUGUAAGUUAGAGGUGAAAGCCCGGGGCUCAACCCCGGAAUUGCCUUUAAGACUGCAUCGCUUGAAUCGCGGAGAGGUGAGUGGAAUUCCGAGUGUAGAGGUGAAAUUCGUAGAUAUUCGGAAGAACACCAGUGGCGAAGGCGGCUCACUGGACGCGUAUUGACGCUGAGGUACGAAAGCGUGGGGAACAAACAGGAUUAGAAACCCCUGUAGU
RNAcentral lists this ribosomal RNA (270 nucleotides) under uncultured bacterium. RNAcentral's name for it is "partial 16S ribosomal RNA". It matches the Rfam family "Bacterial small subunit ribosomal RNA", at positions 524 to 794 of the family's 1533-position model. The record is from RNAcentral.